Molecule: long non-coding RNA, 279 nt
Organism: Melanotaenia boesemani (Boeseman's rainbowfish)
Lineage: Eukaryota; Metazoa; Chordata; Actinopteri; Atheriniformes; Melanotaeniidae
Exons: 3
Source: RefSeq, a predicted model, not a curated record
AGAGACUCAGUUUAUGGCCUAUUUGUUGGGUCAGUGAGCAGCUUGGAAUCAAGGUCCAGCUCCACCCCUUGGAAUCAACAUCAGGCCAGUCUUUUCCUGUGCUUCUAAGGGCGAGGUGAACAGAUGCUGCUGAAUCAGUUUGAGUGGAACCUUUUUCUGCCAGUAAAGAAAUAAACUUCUCUGAGUUCUUGAGCAAGGAAAAGCAACACACAUGAGAGGUCAUGAAUUUGGUGAGGAGUGGAGCUGGCUGGCUGCGGAUGAGGAAGUAGGGCAAUAUAU